This 496-nucleotide ribosomal RNA is filed under the name uncultured bacterium. RNAcentral's name for it is "partial 16S ribosomal RNA". It matches the Rfam family "Bacterial small subunit ribosomal RNA", at positions 29 to 507 of the family's 1533-position model. The record is from RNAcentral.
AUGAACGCUGGCGGCGUGCCUAAUACCUGCAAGUCGCGCGGACAGACGAGGAGCUUGCUCCUCUGACGUUAGCGGCGGACGGGUGAGUAACACGUGGAUAACCUACCUAUAAGACUGGGAUAACUUCGGGAAACCGGAGCUAAUACCGGAUAAUAUAUUGAACCGCAUGGUUCAAUAGUGAAAGACGGUUUUGCUGUCACUUAUAGAUGGAUCCGCGCCGCAUUAGCUAGUUGGUAAGGUAACGGCUUACCAAGGCAACGAUGCGUAGCCGACCUGAGAGGGUGAUCGGCCACACUGGAACUGAGACACGGUCCAGACUCCUACGGGAGGCAGCAGUAGGGAAUCUUCCGCAAUGGGCGAAAGCUUGACGGGGCAACGCCGCGUGAGUGAUGAAGGUCUUCGGAUCGUAAAACUCUGUUAUUAGGGAAGAACAAAUGUGUAAGUAACUAUGCACGUCUUGACGGUACCUAAUCAGAAAGCCACGGCUAACUACGUG